This 449-nucleotide ribosomal RNA is filed under the name uncultured bacterium. RNAcentral describes it as "partial 16S ribosomal RNA". It matches the Rfam family "Bacterial small subunit ribosomal RNA", at positions 29 to 523 of the family's 1533-position model. The record is from RNAcentral.
AACGAACGCUGGCGGCAUGCCUAACACAUGCAAGUCGAACGAGAUCUUCGGGUCUAGUGGCGCACGGGUGCGUAACGCGUGGGAAUCUGCCCUUUGGUUCGGAAUAACAGUUGGAAACGACUGCUAAUACCGGAUGAUGACGAAAGUCCAAAGAUUUAUCGCCAGAGGAUGAGCCCGCGUAGGAUUAGCUAGUUGGUGUGGUAAAGGCGCACCAAGGCGACGAUCCUUAGCUGGUCUGAGAGGAUGAUCAGCCACACUGGGACUGAGACACGGCCCAGACUCCUACGGGAGGCAGCAGUGGGGAAUAUUGGACAAUGGGCGAAAGCCUGAUCCAGCAAUGCCGCGUGAGUGAUGAAGGCCUUAGGGUUGUAAGGCUCUUUUACCCGGGAUGAUAAUGACAGUACCGGGAGAAGAAGCUCCGGCUAACUCCGUGCCAGCCGCCGCAGUAA